Molecule: ribosomal RNA, 433 nt
Filed under: uncultured bacterium
Lineage: Bacteria
Description: partial 16S ribosomal RNA
Rfam family: Bacterial small subunit ribosomal RNA
Source: RNAcentral
AACGAACGCUGGCGGCAUGCCUAACACAUGCAAGUCGAACGAGACCUUCGGGUCUAGUGGCGCACGGGUGCGUAACGCGUGGGAACCUGCCCUUAGGUUCGGAAUAACUCCCCGAAAGGGGUGCUAAUACCGGAUAAUGUCUUCGGACCAAAGAUUUAUCGCCUUUGGAUGGGCCCGCGUUGGAUUAGCUAGUUGGUAGGGUAAAAGCCUACCAAGGCGCCGAUCCAUAGCUGGUCUGAGAGGAUGAUCAGCCACACUGGGACUGAGACACGGCCCAGAAUCCUACGGGAGGCAGCAGUGGGGAAUAUUGGACAAUGGGCGAAAGCCUGAUCCAGCAAUGCCGCGUGAGUGAUGAAGGCCUGAGGGUUGUAAAGCUCUUUUACCCGGGAUGAUAAUGACAGUACCGGGAGAAUAAGCUCCGGCUAACUCCGUG